AUGCUGUUCUUACCAGGCAAGUUAGAAAAAAAGAAGGUGGCCUGGGAACCCAAGUGUCCUUUUUGCAAUGAGAUUGAGUCUUCCAGACAUUUAUUUUUCACUUGCCCGGUGGCUAGAGUGAUAUGGAGAUGUAUUGGGAUGGCAUUGGGGACUCACUUAUGCCCGAAUAGUUAUUGGCAAUACUUCUCUUGGUGCCACACUUUCCUCCCUGCUGGAGGAAAGUAUUAUACCGUGGGUCUCGCUGCUGUUUGCUGGGCGAUCUGGCUUGCUCGAAACCGAGCAACUUUUGAGAAAAAGCAGAUUAAAACUCGUUUUGAGAUUGUUUUCUCCGUGGUUUCCUUUUUGCUGUACUGGGCAGGUCUACAACAAGGAGAAGGGAUCAAGGAGCUGCGAAGCGGGGCGGAGAUGGUCAGGUCAAGCACAGUGCGGCUGAUGAAGAUGUGUGAAGCGGUGAGGAGGCCAAUCGAGGGAGAAUGA
This 477-nucleotide ribosomal RNA is filed under the name Triticum aestivum (bread wheat). RNAcentral describes it as "partial small subunit ribosomal RNA". Lineage: Eukaryota; Viridiplantae; Streptophyta; Magnoliopsida; Poales; Poaceae. The record is from RNAcentral.